RNAcentral lists this ribosomal RNA (119 nucleotides) under Pteropus alecto (black flying fox). The record is from RNAcentral. Lineage: Eukaryota; Metazoa; Chordata; Mammalia; Chiroptera; Pteropodidae.
AUCUAUGGCCACGCUACCUUGAACAAGCCUGAUCCCGUUUGAUCUCGGAAGCUAAGCAGGGUCGGGCCUGGUUAGUACUUGGAUGGGAGACCACCUAAGAAGACCAGGUGCUGUGGGUG